RNAcentral lists this ribosomal RNA (253 nucleotides) under uncultured bacterium. RNAcentral's name for it is "partial 16S ribosomal RNA". It matches the Rfam family "Bacterial small subunit ribosomal RNA", at positions 524 to 776 of the family's 1533-position model. The record is from RNAcentral.
UACGUAGGGGGCAAGCGUUGUCCGGAAUCAUUGGGCGUAAAGAGCGUGUAGGCGGCUUGGUAAGUCCGCUGUGAAAGUCCAGGGCUCAACCCUGGAAAGCCGGUGGAAACUGUCAAGCUUGAGUCCGGAAGAGGCGAGUGGAAUUCCUGGUGUAGCGGUGAAAUGCGCAGAUAUCAGGAGGAACACCAAUGGCGAAGGCAGCUCGCUGGGACGGUACUGACGCUGAUGCACGAAAGCUAGGGGAGCAAACAGG